AAAGAAGAAGUUUAAAAAAUAUUUGGCCUGCACCCAAAAGUAGAUAAUUUAUUUAUCCUUCUUUA
This 65-nucleotide transfer RNA is filed under the name Paralepas cf. quadrata. Its description in RNAcentral is "tRNA-Ala". The record is from RNAcentral. Lineage: Eukaryota; Metazoa; Arthropoda; Thecostraca; Heteralepadidae.